Molecule: ribosomal RNA, 433 nt
Filed under: uncultured bacterium
Lineage: Bacteria
Description: partial 16S ribosomal RNA
Rfam family: Bacterial small subunit ribosomal RNA
Source: RNAcentral
AACGAACGCUGGCGGCAGGCCUAACACAUGCAAGUCGAGCGAGAUCUUCGGGUCUAGCGGCGGACGGGUGAGUAACGCGUGGGAAUAUGCCUCUUGGUACGGAAUAGCCUCGGGAAACUGGGAGUAAUACCGUAUGUGCCCUUUGGGGGAAAGAUUUAUCGCCAAGAGAUUAGCCCGCGUUGGAUUAGGUAGUUGGUGGGGUAAUGGCCUACCAAGCCGACGAUCCAUAGCUGGUUUGAGAGGAUGAUCAGCCACACUGGGACUGAGACACGGCCCAGACUCUUACGCGAGGCAGCAGUGGGGAAUCUUAGACAAUGGGUGCAAGCCUGAUCGAGCCAUACCCCGGGAGUGAUGAAGUCCUUAGGGUUGUAAAGCUCUUUCAGCUGGGAAGAUCAUGACGGUACCAGAAGAAGAAGACCCGGCUAACUGCGUG